Felis catus (domestic cat) is the source of this 52-nucleotide microRNA precursor. It matches the Rfam family "mir-1302 microRNA precursor family". NCBI's taxonomy places the organism in Eukaryota, Metazoa, Chordata, Mammalia, Carnivora, Felidae. The record is from Rfam.
UUUUAAGUACUAAUAUUUCCCAUGCAAUAUUUGGGACAUACUUAUACUAAAA